Molecule: ribosomal RNA, 252 nt
Filed under: uncultured bacterium
Lineage: Bacteria
Description: partial 16S ribosomal RNA
Rfam family: Bacterial small subunit ribosomal RNA
Source: RNAcentral
GACAGAGGAUGCAAGCGUUAUUCGGAUUAAUUGGGCGUAAAGUGUUCGUAGGUGGGUAUUUAAGUCUUAUGUCAAAAAUUAAAGCUUCACUUUAACUUGGCAUUAGAAACUCUAGAUCUUGAAUGCAAUAGAGAUAGUAGGAACUCCUAGUGUAGCGGUGAAAUGCGGAGAGAUUGGGAAGAACACCAGUAGCGAAGGCGUACUAUUAGCUUGUAUUGACUUUGAAGAACGAAAGUUAGGGGAGCAAACGGG